AUGGAAUUCGAAGAUGUUCUGAACUAUGAAGUCAGCAUUAUCAAGACACAGGGAGGACCACAGGCAGAAGACAGAAGUACCAGAGAUUCAUGGAAGAAAAAGCAGGCAAACAAGUGUGAGUUCAGGAGGAUUUGUGCAUUCAUCAUAAAUCAGCCAAGAGAUAUCAACAUCCAAAAGGAGGGGUAGAAGCUUGAGUUGCAACCAAGAAAACCAGCUGAGAAGAUUCACCCACACAGAUGGCCUCUAGGGACAGCUGCCAUACAUUCAAUCCAUCACACAGGCAAAGGAGGGUGCAGAGCAAUCAGGCAAGUGUUUAUGCAUCAAAAUAUAAUUGGCUAAAUUUUCAGAGAUGCUGAGCUUCAAAAGUAGAUAGUGUGAGCAAUCAGGCAGAGAAAGAUACUUCAGAAUCUGAGGAAAGUAAGACAGGGCAUUUCAGAAAUCCAUAUUUCUUCCUAAGUCACAAAAA
This 466-nucleotide long non-coding RNA is filed under the name Coturnix japonica (Japanese quail). Its description in RNAcentral is "lncRNA (ENSCJPG00005000958.1)". Lineage: Eukaryota; Metazoa; Chordata; Aves; Galliformes; Phasianidae. The record is from RNAcentral.